Molecule: long non-coding RNA, 3000 nt
Organism: Fukomys damarensis (Damara mole-rat)
Lineage: Eukaryota; Metazoa; Chordata; Mammalia; Rodentia; Bathyergidae
Exons: 3
Source: RefSeq, a predicted model, not a curated record
CCCUGGCGACACACUUCUCUGUUUCCACACGAAGCUCACUCCCACCUUCCCAGCAGCCUCCAUGGCCGUCAGGCUGGCCUGCAUCCCUGCCGGGAGGAGCCUUCCACACCGGCAGAGCCGGAGUUUCCAAGGACGCUGGGAGGGGUCAGAGGGAGAGGACGGGGCAAAGCGACGCCAGGAUCCACGGCGCCGCCCGGCAGGGAGGUGGACUCACCGCGCCAGGGGCAAUGAUUCCACACCGCGGUAAAAGGAGCGGAGGCCGCAGCUACCUCGGAGCAGGAGCUUCGGUAAGCGGGCUCGAAGCGUCUGUCUCGCCAGGCGUCCCGGAAGAGGCUCACACACCCUCCUGAGACAGAAUCGGCCCGCAAAGCACAGCUGCUCAGGGUCCCUCCCGAAGAAUCCUGAGGUGCGAGCACACUUGUGGGAAGCUGCCGAGGCAGGGGCGGUCUCUCAGGGAAACGUGAGAAGGGGCUCAGCGGAUGACGGCGGGCUGAGCCCUACGCAGCACGGCCGAGGACAGGAUGAGUUCUGGUCCCCACAGUCACGCGUUCAGAUGAUGACACGCUGAAGUCACUCGGCAAGGACCAGGAAGCUGGUUAGUGACAGAGACAGGACCCACCCGCAGUCUGGUGAGAAGUACUUGGGAUGUGGCAGACACGGGCGAGGCAACCGACUGCAGCGGUACAGGCGACCGUUCACCUGGGGAGGCAGCCUGGGCCCCUCACCUACCGUCUGAUCUUCCGGACAUUCAAAACUCUCCAGUAUGAAGCGAAACAAACAACAACAAGCAAAUCAAAAGCCCUGUGUAGUUCGUAAGACCACCAUGUGAGCAGUGUUUCCUGACACGUGGAAGAGAUGAACGUCCUUACUGCCACAGACCAGGGCGGUCAGAGAGAAUCUAAAUAACAAACCUAAGUUUCAUCCGGUUUAUUACCAUUAGAUCAAACCCCCUUUUUGCCCUAUCAUAUUUCUUCAUUGAGUCUGCAAUAAAAAAACUCGUUGAACUUUUGAGUAUUUUUUUUAUCAUGUGGAACUUAGAAUUUGUAUGUUUUCUUUUGUUAAUUUUGUUGUGGUCAUUGUCACUAGGUAACCAUAAAUCUAAGAUGGGUAGAAGGAAAGUUAUUUUUCUCUCCUGCAUGACAAUUUGUUUUCUGAAAGAUGGCUGAAUGCAUGAUUGGUAAGAUUCAUACCCAAGAAAGAGGCCACACUGGUUGAGGGGGAAGGAAUUGAGUAUAUGUUAACAGUGGCCUAUGGAUUACUGUAUACCCUUACAGCAUUUGAAUUUUAAACACAUAAACAUAGUACCUCUCCCAAAUCGUAGUAUGAUGCUAUUUCUUUAAAGAAUUUUUGUUGUUGUUCUCAAGUUGAAGAGAAAAUAUACACAUGCUGUAUUAUAACAUGACGGAAAGGUGAAGUGCCCCAGGAGAGGCACAGAUGAACUUGUGUCCUGAGCGGGGUGGGAGGGAAAGGGCUGGUGGAGUUGGGCAGAAGGGUGGGCCUGUUUUAUUUACACACACUUCCGGGGAAAUGGAGUGAGUGUUCUAGUCUCCAAGUUCAGGUCAUACUCAGCAGCACCUCGGCCCGCCCGGGAAAUUUGGAUUGUUCCCAAAGGGCACUGAUGGCACGCUGUGAUAGUCAAGGGUCUAACGUUACUAGUUAGAGGCUCAAGAGCUCACCACCCUCCUCUGUGACCUGCUCCACAGUAAAUCAGCUGUGUUUAACACCACGGUGUGACAGCAGCAGAUAGGUAAUGCUUGCUGUUUCUAGCAAGCUCUAGUACAGAUGGGAGACUCACCUUGGACUCUGCUGGCAGAUUUGCCUCAGCUCCUGGGAAACCAAAUUCAUUUGUCCUCGUCCGUCUUCUUAAACGGUGAAGCGGACCUUUUAGAUUCCUCCACCUGUGAUACGGCCAGUGAAUAAAGUCCCAAGGCAGCAUCCAACUGGGGCUACAUCAAAAGUUUUAGGUUUUUUUCUUCCAAAAAGCCAAAUAAUGACAUGAAAUUUAAGUUCAACAACUGCCAGAGUCAUCCAGUUAACUGGUAAAGCACAUGGAACCCUUCCACCUUUAUUUUCCAAAAUGGAAGAAAAAUCUCAGGUAACCAUUAACAUGAGCCCUUUCCAGACCAACUAGAAGACAGUGUCUUGAACAUACCAUAACUUGAGAGGAAAAAAAGAUUGUUAUUGCCCAAAUCACUAGUCUCUAUUAAAAUUUCUUUCUCUUUAAAUGUAGUAUUCGACUUACAUUUCCCUCUGCUUUCUUGUUCUUACUCCCCAGGAUCAAUAACUACUGAAUUUUGUGCUUGUAAUUUCCAGUUGGUAACUUGUCUUUUGAACACUCACUGUAGCCUUGUUUUAUUUUUAGUGGACAGAAUUUCUUUAAUACAGUCACACAAAUCAAGUUUCUUUUACAAUGAAAUCUUUUGGUACUAUUAUAUGUCUAAAAAACCCCACGACUGGAAAAUUACAAGAUACCAUUAUACAUUUUCUUUCCACAUUUGAAAAUUUAAACAAAAGGGAAUCAAUCUUUGUAAAUGAGGUGGGUCAGGGGACCAACAUCAAUUUUUUCCCCUUUAUACGUUUACUGAUUGUUCCUGAAGUUUCUGAACAGGCUUAUUGCUUUAAAUGGCGUUUCUGUCACACACCAUGGUUCCAUGUGCUUACUGGGAUGGGUCUUUUGACUCUUCCGUUAGUCGGUCUACAUCUCUCAGAACUUGAAGAUCUGGUGAAGAAAGUCCCUUCCCCUUACCACAUUGUUCUCCCCUGGCUUUUCUUCACCUUUACUUACCCUGGAAUUAGUAUGUGAAGUCUCACAAAAAUAAGGCUGACAUAUUGACUGGAACUGCGUUGCACCCAUAGAUCAAUACGGGAAGAAAUGAGACCUAAUAGUAGGCCUAUAAAUGUAGGGAUCUCUAUUUCCAUCUUUAUUGUUUUUCACUGUAAUUGUGUAAUAGUUUGCAUAUGGGUCUCAUAUGUUUUGAUCCAAUUUAUUCAUGUCUUUCA